RNAcentral lists this ribosomal RNA (383 nucleotides) under uncultured eukaryote. RNAcentral's name for it is "partial 18S ribosomal RNA". It matches the Rfam family "Eukaryotic small subunit ribosomal RNA", at positions 592 to 976 of the family's 1831-position model. The record is from RNAcentral.
CAAUAGCGUAUAUUAAAGUUGUUGCAGUUAAAAAGCUCGUAGUUGGAUUUCUGGUGGGAGCGAUCGGUCUGGCGCUUAGCGCGAGUACUUGCAUCGUCUCCGGCCAUCCUUGGGGAGAGUCUGUCUGGCAUUAAGUUGUCGGGCAGAGGAUCCUCAUAGUUUACUGUGAAAAAAUUAGAGUGUUCAAAGCAGGCUUAUGCCGUUGAAUAUAUUAGCAUGGAAUAAUAAGAUAGGACUUUGGUACUAUUUUGUUGGUUUGCGCACCAAAGUAAUGAUUAAUAGGGACAGUUGGGGGUAUUCGUAUUCCGUUGUCAGAGGUGAAAUUCUUGGAUUUACGGAAGACGAACUACUGCGAAAGCAUUUACCAAGGAUGUUUUCAUUAA